Lathyrus oleraceus (garden pea) is the source of this 2100-nucleotide RNA transcript. It is a transcript of the gene named RAN GTPase-activating protein 2, with no coding region annotated. The transcript has 3 exons. NCBI's taxonomy places the organism in Eukaryota, Viridiplantae, Streptophyta, Magnoliopsida, Fabales, Fabaceae. The record is from RefSeq and is a predicted model, not a curated record.
AUUAUUUAUUAGGCUUUCCCAAAAAACAUAUUUGAUUUUCAAUUUCAAUCCUCUCUUCAUUAUCGCCAUUUUAAGGGUUUCCCUCCACUCUCUCUCACUCUUCCACAACCCUCUUUCAAUUCAAAUUCUACAUUUCUUGAAACCGCUUCAUAGUACAGUGCUUUCAAAACACCAAUUCUUCUCACAUCAACAAAACAGGUUUGAUUGCUAUGGAGCUGAAUUCGCAGAACAGACCAUUUUCAAUCAAAUUAUGGCCUCCUAGUCAGAACACUAGACAGACACUUGUGGAUAAGAUGAUCACCAAUCUUACUACAAGAUCUAUUUUCACGCAGAAGUAUGCAACUUUGAACCGUGAAGAGGCUGAAGAAAAUGCAAAAAGAAUUGAGGACGUGGCUUUUGCCACUGCAAACCUACAUUAUGAGAGAGAGCCAGAUGGUGAUGGAGGUUCUGCUGUCCAGCUUUAUGCCAAAGAGUGCAGUAAGCUCCUCCUAGACGUGCUUAAAAGAGAACCUAGUAAGAACCGUGACAAUGAAGUGGCGGUGCGUGAUGAUACCGCUGUUCCUCGUGAAUCUGUUUUUGAUAUAUCUAAAGGCAAAAGGGCUUUCAUUGAAGCAGAGGAGGCUCAUGAACUUUUGAAGCCAUUAAAGGAACCGGGAAAUUCUUUCACUAAAAUAUGCUUCAGCAACAGAAGUUUUGGAUUAGAAGCAGCAGAGGUCGCCCAGCCAAUUCUCACUUCCCUCAAGGGCCAGUUGAAAGAAGUAGACCUGUCAGAUUUUGUUGCUGGAAGGCCAGAAGCAGAAGCACUUGAUGUCAUGAGAAUAUUCUCUGCUGCUCUAGAGGGCAGUGUCUUGAAGUAUUUAAACCUUUCCGACAAUGCUUUAGGCGAGAAAGGUGUUAGAGCAUUUGGAGCUCUCUUGAAAUCGCAAAGCUGUUUGGAGGAGCUUUAUCUUAUGAAUGACGGAAUUUCAGAAGAAGCUGCACAAGCAGUUUCUGAGUUGAUUCCUUCAACAGAGAAGCUCAAAGUUCUUCAUUUUCAUAAUAAUAUGACUGGAGAUGAAGGAGCACUUGCUAUAGCUGAGGUUGUGAAGCGUUCGCCUCUCUUGGAGGAUUUCCGCUGUUCCUCCACGAGGAUUGGCGAGGAAGGUGGCGUUGCCUUAUCUGAAGCUUUAGGGAAUUGCAUCCAUUUGAGGAAGCUUGAUUUGCGAGACAACAUGUUAGGUGUAGAGGGUGGGAUUUCUCUGAGUAAAGCUCUCACCAAGAAUGCAGAGUUAAGAGAGAUAUACCUGAGCUACUUGAACUUGGAAGAUGAAGGAGCAAUUGCUAUAGUUAACACUCUUAAGGAAUCAGCUCCUCACCUUGAAGUUCUUGAGAUGAAUGGAAAUGAAAUUACAGUUGACGCUGUUCCUGCUAUAGUAGACUGCGUAGCAACAAAGCAGUUUCUAGCUAAGUUGAUCCUCUCGGAGAAUGAACUCAAGGAUGAAGGUGCCAUCCAGAUAAGUAAAGCUCUAGAAGGACUUGACCAGUUAAAGGAAGUCGAUCUAAGUUCCAACGAAAUAAGCAGUGAUGGGGCUCGACAAUUGGCUCUCACCGUGGUGCAGAAGGCUGAUUUUAAACUUCUCAACAUUAAUGGAAAUUUCAUUUCUGAUGAUGGCGUUGAAGAGUUGAAGGCCAUAUUUGAAAAAUCUCCGGACAUGCUGGGUCCAUUAGAUGAAAAUGACCCUGAUGGAAAAGGCGGUGAUGGAGAAUCUGACGAAGAGGGUAGUGUGGAAGAUGAACUGGAAUCCAAAAUGAAGAACCUUGUGGUUGAUUGAAUUGUAGCAGUUGGGAGUCUGCUCUCUAGUUCUGCUGCAAAGUAGCUCUUAUGGCAGUAGUAUCAGUUUAUUAGAUUGAGAUGAUUGCAGAGAUAACGGUGGAGAAGAGGUUACUCAACAAAAGAGAGAAGAUUGAUGAAGUAAAUAUAAUGUGGUGAGGUCUAUGAUAAUAUAUAAUUUAUUUAAUCUAAUAGUCAUUAAAUGUGAUUCAUGGUGAGAGACUUAGUUAAUGUCUCACUCUAGCCUGAAAAACUAUUCAAAAUAAUUUUAAUUCAAGUAUAUUUUGAAA